UACGGAGGGGGCAAGCGUUGUUCGGAUUUACUGGGCGUAAAGGGUCCGUAGGCGGUUGUGUAAGUCUGGUGUGAAAUCUCCGCCGCUUAACGGGAAGCAGCCACUGGAAACUGCAUAACUUGAGUCUGGUAGAGGCAAGCGGAAUUCCUGGUGUAGCGGUGGAAUGUGUAGAUAUCAGGAAGAACAUCUGUGGCGAAGGCGGCUUGCUGGGCCAGUACUGACGCUGAGGGACGAAAGCGUGGGGAGCAAACGGG
Molecule: ribosomal RNA, 254 nt
Filed under: uncultured bacterium
Lineage: Bacteria
Description: partial 16S ribosomal RNA
Rfam family: Bacterial small subunit ribosomal RNA
Source: RNAcentral